Camellia sinensis is the source of this 1008-nucleotide long non-coding RNA. RefSeq lists it as uncharacterized. NCBI's taxonomy places the organism in Eukaryota, Viridiplantae, Streptophyta, Magnoliopsida, Ericales, Theaceae. The record is from RefSeq and is a predicted model, not a curated record.
AUUCUUUGAUCACUAACAAUUUAAUAAGAAAUGGAAAGGAAACAUGAUGGGUUAGAGAGAGAGAGAGUCUACCUUCUCUCUAGAAACUACCUCAGUUUCUAGGGUUUGUUCAUUCAAUAUUUCGUUGAUGAUGGUUGAUUACUCAUCUAAUCUACAUGACUUAGAUACAAUGGGUGAUAAACUAGUGAUUGAAGGUACUACUACACCUAAGGGGAGUUCGUACAUCUUGAAGGAUAGUCUUACGGAUAGUGAUUUGUUAAUUUUAAUGGACGUCGCGAAGAGAAAUGGGGGUAAGAAACAUCGUUCUGCAUCUAAUAUCGAGAUGAGAAAGAGCCCUAAGGCUUUCAGUAGGGUUGAGUCUAAGAUCCCUAGUCCAAGUUUUCUUGUUGACGCUAUGGGUGGUCUCUACUCUGAGAUUCAAGAGAUGAAUUUUAUUCAGCUCCACUUUAAAACAACAGGUGUUCGAGGUAAUGAAAAAGCAAGAGGAGAUGAGGCUAACAGAAUUGACUACAAAAGGGGCAGAAUUUAAAGCUAUGUAAGCUAAAGCUGAAACUCCAUGCUUCUCUCAAAGAAAAGGCACUGGGAUUGUAAAUGAUGAUUUUUUCAAAGACUUCAACAUGGAUGAUAUUGACUUGAGUUUGGAGAACUUUGAACAACUCUUUAGAACUGGUAACUUGUUUGAAAGUGGGGAUGCGCAUGAUGCUGAUAUCAAGACACACUGUGCAUUUGCUUCUGAGAUAAGAAAUGCAACAAGGUUAGUAGCUCCAGCUAUUGCUGCGGGUUUAGGUGCCUUAACACAUACAUUAGGCACCCUCAUCCCUGUGAUAGGAGCAAGUGGAUUUGCCACAGCUGCAGCUGGAAUUGCUAUAAGAACUGUUGUCGGUAGUUUUAAAUAAUCUCUUAAUAGCUGUCGAUAUGUUUAUAAAGUUAGAUAUGCAUAGUUUUGGAUGGUUUAAACUAUUUGUACAGUUUAGAACUUAAGGAUAUAGUUUUCGAAUGUUUGAAAUG